GACGAACGCUGGCGGCGUGCUUAACACAUGCAAGUCGAACGGAAAGGCCCUGCUUUUGUGGGGUGCUCGAGUGGCGAACGGGUGAGUAACACGUGAGUAACCUGCCCUUGACUUUGGGAUAACUUCAGGAAACUGGGGCUAAUACCGGAUAGGAGCUCCUGCUGCAUGGUGGGGGUUGGAAAGUUUCGGCGGUUGGGGAUGGACUCGCGGCUUAUCAGCUUGUUGGUGGGGUAGUGGCUUACCAAGGCUUUGACGGGUAGCCGGCCUGAGAGGGUGACCGGCCACAUUGGGACUGAGAUACGGCCCAGACUCCUACGGGAGGCAGGAGUGGGGAAUAUUGCACAAUGGGCGGAAGCCUGAUGGAGCAACGCCGCGUGGGGGAUGACGGCCUUCGGGUUGUAAACCGCUUUCGCCUGUGACGAAGCGUGAGUGACGGUAAUGGGGAAAGAAGCACCGGCUAACUACGU
RNAcentral lists this ribosomal RNA (467 nucleotides) under uncultured bacterium. Its description in RNAcentral is "partial 16S ribosomal RNA". It matches the Rfam family "Bacterial small subunit ribosomal RNA", at positions 28 to 506 of the family's 1533-position model. The record is from RNAcentral.